This is a long non-coding RNA of Sycon ciliatum, 622 nucleotides long. RefSeq lists it as uncharacterized. The transcript has 3 exons. NCBI's taxonomy places the organism in Eukaryota, Metazoa, Porifera, Calcarea, Leucosolenida, Sycettidae. The record is from RefSeq and is a predicted model, not a curated record.
AUUGCCUUCAUCAGUGGAUCCAUGACUAUCGUGUCAACAUCAUGGCAGGUUGGAUCAAUUGCCUUGGUGUGCAGAGCAAAUGGCACGGGACCAUUGAAUAUGACAUGGACUAAGAAUGGAAGAAUACUACCAGCAUAUAAUGAUGCAAAUGGUUGGACACGUAAGCUUGGUGAUUACCUAAGUGUGGACGACUCAGGGAUAUAUACUUGUACAGUAUCAACACCCUUUGGAACUGCUUCAAAACAACUGACCAUCCUAGUACAAGAUAUUCCCAGGUUUCUUAUUUCCCCUAGACCGGCACGGAUCGUCCAGAAUUCACUAAGAGCAACUUCGGUCACUCUUAAUCUUCAAUCACCGUCACACAAAGGAAAUCUACCCGUCAAAAGUUACAAAGUCAUUUGUAAACCAGAUGCAGAGUACAGAUCUUAUGUGAAGGACACUGUUCAAAGUGUUCCACUCAAUACUGUCACAUUUUUUGGACUCCAACCAGCCACCAAAUAUACCUGCUGGUAUCAUGCAGAAAAUGCAGCUGGUCCAAGUGGUCCAAGUCCCAGACUAAGACUGGAGACUCCCGAAUCACGGUCUGCGGCGCCCCAAGGCCUCACUGCUGUCUCAACAUCAC